This 501-nucleotide ribosomal RNA is filed under the name Oceanicaulis sp. WH090. RNAcentral's name for it is "bacterial SSU rRNA". It matches the Rfam family "Bacterial small subunit ribosomal RNA", at positions 105 to 641 of the family's 1533-position model. The record is from RNAcentral. Lineage: Bacteria; Pseudomonadati; Pseudomonadota; Alphaproteobacteria; Maricaulales; Maricaulaceae.
GGUGAGUAACGCGUGGGAACGUGCCCUUUGGUUCGGAAUAGCCCUUGGAAACGAGGAGUAAUGCCGAAUGUGCCCUUCGGGGGAAAGAUUUAUCGCCAAAGGAUCGGCCCGCGUUAGAUUAGCUAGUUGGUGAGGUAAUGGCUCACCAAGGCGACGAUCUAUAGCUGGUCUGAGAGGAUGAUCAGCCACACUGGGACUGAGACACGGCCCAGACUCCUACGGGAGGCAGCAGUGGGGAAUCUUGGACAAUGGGCGCAAGCCUGAUCCAGCCAUUCCGCGUGGAUGAUGAAGGCCCUAGGGUUGUAAAAUCCUUUCGGCAGGGAAGAUAAUGACGGUACCUGCUAAAGAAGCCCCGGCUAACUCCGUGCCAGCAGCCGCGGUAAUACGGAGGGGGCUAGCGUUGUUCGGAAUUACUGGGCGUAAAGCGCGCGUAGGCGGAUCGAUCAGUCAGAGGUGAAAUCCCGGAGCUCAACUUCGGAACUGCCUUUGAUACUGUCGAUC